UGGGGAAUUUUGGACAAUGGGGGAAACCCUGAUCCAGCCAUCCCGCGUGUGCGAUGAAGGCCUUCGGGUUGUAAAGCACUUUUGGCAGGAAAGAAACGUCAUGGGUUAAUACCCCGUGAAACUGACGGUACCUGCAGAAUAAGCACCGGCUAACUACGUGCCAGCAGCCGCGGUAAUACGUAGGGUGCAAGCGUUAAUCGGAAUUACUGGGCGUAAAGCGUGCGCAGGCGGUUCGGAAAGAAAGAUGUGAAAUCCCAGAGCUCAACUUUGGAACUGCAUUUUUAACUACCGGGCUAGGGUGUGUCAGAGGGAGGUGGAAUUCCGCGUGUAGCAGUGAAAUGCGUAGAUAUGCGGAGGAACACCGAUGGCGAAGGCAGCCUCCUGAGAUAACACUGACGCUAAUGCACGAAAGCGUGGGGAGCAAACAGG
RNAcentral lists this ribosomal RNA (429 nucleotides) under Acidobacteriota bacterium. RNAcentral's name for it is "Acidobacteria bacterium partial 16S ribosomal RNA". It matches the Rfam family "Bacterial small subunit ribosomal RNA", at positions 355 to 776 of the family's 1533-position model. Lineage: Bacteria; Pseudomonadati; Acidobacteriota. The record is from RNAcentral.